UGGUAAUCCUGCUCAGUACGAGAGGAACUGCAGGUUCAGACAUUUGCCGCUUGGCUGAGGAGUCAAUGGUGCAAAGCUACCAUCUGUGGGAUUAUGACUGAACGCCUCUAAGUCAGAAUCCCGCCUAGA
RNAcentral lists this non-coding RNA (129 nucleotides) under Oryzias latipes (Japanese medaka). Its description in RNAcentral is "Eukaryotic large subunit ribosomal RNA". It matches the Rfam family "Eukaryotic large subunit ribosomal RNA", at positions 3017 to 3151 of the family's 3401-position model. The record is from Rfam by way of RNAcentral. Lineage: Eukaryota; Metazoa; Chordata; Actinopteri; Beloniformes; Adrianichthyidae.